Molecule: ribosomal RNA, 772 nt
Filed under: Pichia fermentans
Lineage: Eukaryota; Fungi; Ascomycota; Pichiomycetes; Pichiales; Pichiaceae
Description: partial large subunit ribosomal RNA
Rfam family: Eukaryotic large subunit ribosomal RNA
Source: RNAcentral
CGCAUGCCCGUAGCGGCGAGUGAAGCGGCAAAAGCUCAGAUUUGGAAUCGCUUCGGCGAGUUGUGAAUUGCAGGUUGGCGCCUCUGCGGCGGCGGCGGUCCAAGUCCCUUGGAACAGGGCGCCAUUGAGGGUGAGAGCCCCGUGGGACCGUUUGCCUAUGCUCUGAGGCCCUUCUGACGAGUCGAGUUGUUUGGGAAUGCAGCUCUAAGCGGGUGGUAAAUUCCAUCUAAGGCUAAAUACUGGCGAGAGACCGAUAGCGAACAAGUACUGUGAAGGAAAGAUGAAAAGCACUUUGAAAAGAGAGUGAAACAGCACGUGAAAUUGUUGAAAGGGAAGGGUAUUGCGCCCGACAUGGAGCGUGCGCACCGCUGCCCCUCGUGGGCGGCGCUCUGGGCGUGCUCUGGGCCAGCAUCGGUUUUUGCCGCGGGAGAAGGGCGGCGGGCAUGUAGCUCUUCGGAGUGUUAUAGCCUGCCGCCGGCGCCGCGAGCGGGGACCGAGGACUGCGACUUUUGUCUCGGAUGCUGGCACAACGGCGCAACACCGCCCGUCUUGAAACAUGGACCAAGGAGUCUAACGUCUAUGCGAGUGUUUGGGUGUGAAACCCCGGGCGCGUAAUGAAAGUGAACGUAGGUCGGACCGCUCCUCUCGGGGGGCGGGCACGAUCGACCGAUCCUGAUGUCUUCGGAUGGAUUUGAGUAAGAGCAUAGCUGUUGGGACCCGAAAGAUGGUGAACUAUGCCUGAUAGGGGAAAACCCCCAGAGAAUUAAUGUUU